This is a non-coding RNA of Schistosoma haematobium, 45 nucleotides long. Lineage: Eukaryota; Metazoa; Platyhelminthes; Trematoda; Strigeidida; Schistosomatidae. The record is from Rfam.
AUCCAGCUGACGAGCCCUUAACGGGACGAAACGUGCGUUCUGGAU